RNAcentral lists this ribosomal RNA (479 nucleotides) under Acinetobacter baumannii. RNAcentral's name for it is "bacterial SSU rRNA". It matches the Rfam family "Bacterial small subunit ribosomal RNA", at positions 51 to 524 of the family's 1533-position model. Lineage: Bacteria; Pseudomonadati; Pseudomonadota; Gammaproteobacteria; Moraxellales; Moraxellaceae. The record is from RNAcentral.
CCACCAUGCAGUCGAGCGGGGGAAGGUAGCUUGCUACCGGACCUAGCGGCGGACGGCCGAUUAAUGCUUAGGAAUCUGCCUAUUAGUGGGGGACAACAUCUCGAAAGGGAUGCUAAUACCGCAUACGUCCUACGGGAGAAAGCAGGGGAUCUUCGGACCUUGCGCUAAUAGAUGAGCCUAAGUCGGAUUAGCUAGUUGGUGGGGUAAAGGCCUACCAAGGCGACGAUCUGUAGCGGGUCUGAGAGGAUGAUCCGCCACACUGGGACUGAGACACGGCCCAGACUCCUACGGGAGGCAGCAGUGGGGAAUAUUGGACAAUGGGGGGAACCCUGAUCCAGCCAUGCCGCGUGUGUGAAGAAGGCCUUAUGGUUGUAAAGCACUUUAAGCGAGGAGGAGGCUACUCUAGUUAAUACCUAGGGAUAGUGGACGUUACUCGCAGAAUAAGCACCGGCUAACUCUGUGCCAGCAGCCGCGGUAAU